AUUGAACGCUGGCGGCAGGCUUAACACAUGCAAGUCGAGCGGGGGAGGGUAGCUUGCUACCGGACCUAGCGGCGGACGGGUGAGUAAUGCUUAGGAAUCUGCCUAUUAGUGGGGGACAACAUCUCGAAAGGGAUGCUAAUACCGCAUACGUCCUACGGGAGAAAGCAGGGGAUCUUCGGACCUUGCGCUAAUAGAUGAGCCUAAGUGGGAUUAGCUAGGUGGUGGGGUAAAGGCCUACCAAGGCGACGAUCUGUUGCGGGUCUGAGAGGAUGAUCCGCCACACUGGGACUGAGAAACGGCCCAGACUCCUACGGGAGGAAGCAGUGGGGAAUAUUGGACAAUGGGGGGAACCCUGAUCCAGCCAUGCCGCGUGUGUGAAGAAGGCCUUAUGGUUGUAAAGCACUUUAAGCGAGGAGGAGGCUACUUUAGUUAAUACCUAGAGAUAGUGGACGUUACUCGCAGAAUAAGCACCGGCUAACUCUGUGCCAGCCGCCGCGGUAA
This 501-nucleotide ribosomal RNA is filed under the name uncultured bacterium. RNAcentral describes it as "partial 16S ribosomal RNA". It matches the Rfam family "Bacterial small subunit ribosomal RNA", at positions 30 to 523 of the family's 1533-position model. The record is from RNAcentral.